AUCCACAGCCCGCUUUAUGGAGGUCACCAACAUUGUUCUCUGGGGUUGAGUAAUUCUGGAGACUUCGGCUGAUUGAGAGUAGAAAAUGGUUUAUGAGGAGCAGCUGGGGGAACUGGGGUGGUCUAAUCUGGAGAAGGCUCAGAGGAGGCCUUAUCACUUCUAUAACCACCUGAAAGGAGGCUGCAGCCAGGAGGAGUCAGCCUCUUUUCUCAGGUAAUGGUGAUAGGACAAGUGGUAUGGCCUGAAGUUGUACCAGGGGAGGUUUACACUGGAUAUCAGGAAGAUAUACAGAAAUUCUGUAUAGAGUGGGUGGUCAAGUCUUGGAGUGUUCUGUCGAGGGAAGUGAAGGAGGUUCCAUCUCUGGAGGUUUGGCUGUGGAUUCAGCUCUCAGAAGAAAGGCUGUCUGCAGGAGUCCUGGCGUCCCUUGGCAGCAUUGACAGUGAGACCCUCCCCCACUCUGCUUUCUACAGUGCUCAACAAGGUGAAGUGGAAGGUGUACACAUGUCAGAUGGCUCCCAGAAGUCUCCCACACUGCUAUAUGAAUUCUUACACUCAGAAGCAACAUCUGAGGAAAUGAGCUUGGGAAACCUGAGAAAGGAAUGAAGGAGUCAUUAGUUUUGCCCAUCUGGCAGCAGAACAGCUGGUCCUGCUGAGUCUGGAGAUUCCUUCCUGAUGUCUCUCCUGCUCAGUGUUACGCAGCUCAGCAGAAUCUUGAGGGUCUGUAUGGGAACUGUUGAAUCACGGCCUGAACCUCUGAUUGACCACCUGAGGCAAGUACUGAGUCAGCC
This 788-nucleotide long non-coding RNA is filed under the name Gallus gallus (chicken). RNAcentral's name for it is "lncRNA (ENSGALG00010014571.1)". Lineage: Eukaryota; Metazoa; Chordata; Aves; Galliformes; Phasianidae. The record is from RNAcentral.